CCCUACGGGGGGCAGCAGUGAGGAAUAUUGGUCAAUGGUCGGGAGACUGAACCAGCCAAGCCGCGUGAGGGAUGAAGGUACAGAGUAUCGUAAACCUCUUUUGUCAGGGAACAAAGGCGGGGACGCGUCCCCGGAUGAGUGUACCUGAAGAAAAAGCAUCGGCUAACUCCGUGCCAGCAGCCGCGGUAAUACGGAGGAUGCGAGCGUUAUCCGGAUUUAUUGGGUUUAAAGGGUGCGCAGGCGGUCUGUUAAGUCAGCGGUCAAAGCCCGGGGCUCAACCCCGACCCGCCGUUGAAACUGGCAGG
RNAcentral lists this ribosomal RNA (305 nucleotides) under uncultured bacterium. Its description in RNAcentral is "bacterial SSU rRNA". It matches the Rfam family "Bacterial small subunit ribosomal RNA", at positions 337 to 640 of the family's 1533-position model. The record is from RNAcentral.